AGCAACCAAUGUAAAGUAGAAAUAGAUCUUCUAGUUUCUACUAGAUUGAGAGAGAUAGAGUGGAGGUGUGGAUCGGAGGAAGGCCGGCCUGUCGGUGUCUACUCCGAGUUGUACCUACGGGAUCAAGUCUCCUAACCCGAGGCUUGCUUCUAAGAUUCUUCAGUAAUUCGACUUCUAAUACUAGUAAGUUCUUGUUUUAUUGUUCUUUGGUUUAUGAGUUUACUUUAAUCCCCUU
RNAcentral lists this long non-coding RNA (235 nucleotides) under Sorghum bicolor (sorghum). RNAcentral describes it as "long non-coding RNA (SBIC_LNC014123)". The record is from RNAcentral. Lineage: Eukaryota; Viridiplantae; Streptophyta; Magnoliopsida; Poales; Poaceae.